GGUGUAAAAAAAUUAAAAAAUUUAACCCUAAAUGAAAAUUCUCGAGCCAUUCCCUCUCUCUGAACUUUCCCUCUCAGCUUUCCCUCUUUCCCUCUCAUCUCUUUCCUUCUCGAUAUCUUUCCCUCUCGAUCAAAACCAUUGUCUCAUGUUUUCCUUUAAUGAGGUUUCGAGAAAGGGAAUGGGGAAGGGUUUGCGAUCGCACGACUCUGGGUCGCUACGUGCCGCUAAGGGCGCUCGUGCUCCGGUCUAAUUGAGGGUUUGGAUCGACGGCCACUGCACAGUGCUACUAGAAGGAUGACGAGGGAGAGGAGCGCUCCACACGCGGCAUGCUUAACGCACAAGGUUGCAAGCCGAAGCGCGGAGUGCAGUGGGUGAUGAUAGGGGAGCCUCGAGCUAGGAGGAACGUCUUAGCGCAAAGGCUCUCGAAGCUUCUAAAAGUUCCUCACAUUUCCAUAGCUACGCUCUUUAACCAGGACCUCAACCCUCGCUCAUACCUCUAUCACCAAAUAACAAAUGCUUUAGAUCAUGGAAAACUUGUCCUAGAGGAAAAUAUUCUUUUAUGACCAUUACGUUUCGUUCUUUUCGCGCUCACGGUCACACUAUCAAAGUUCCUUCAUCUAUAACAAUAUGUGGUGUAGUUCGGAAGACAUUGUUCCAUUGUUACCAAAUAUCGAUUGAGGCGAGGGUGUUGCAUUUUGGAAACAUUCGAAGUGGUAGUAAGGUAUGUUUCAAUGAUAUUUGUUUUCUCAUAAGGUUUUUGUUAUGCUGUUUUGUUCAUCAUUAUCUCUAACCUUUCAUCUUCUGUAGGAGUAGCCAAAACAGGGUUUAUUCGGUCAACUUGGUGUAUUGGUAGUAUCGUACACUCAAAACCAUUAGCGAUUCNCGUCCUCUCUUUUCCCUCCCCCACCUUGAGUAGAUAACUAUAUUCUGGCUUCUAGAAGGAAAAGCCAAAUAUCAAAGUUCAUAAUAUUCUCUUUGAUAUCAAAGUUUUAAGCCAACAGAUUAGCAAUAACUUGACUUUUCCAAUUGCUUGCUUUCUGGUUUAUAGGGAAGUUUAUUCUUUUCUAUGUGCUUAGAAGUUUGGUUGUUAGAUGGUGGCUACUAACUGUUACAUGUAAUAGGAACUUAAAAGUCGGCUUGAAUAACAUUUAGUAGUCAUUUAUAAUGUAUGCCAAGUCCUCCACUGGAGUGAAUGAAAGGACAUAUAAAGAGCAGAGAUGAAGUAAGGUGGACUACGUCUAUUUGCUCAAGAAGAAGAAACUGGCGUGGUGCCUUAACAUUUGGCNUUUCACAAUUCUUUAAGGCAAAUGAUGGGUGAGGCUUUGAGCGAUAUGGAUGCCAAGGAUCUCAAAAACCUAGAGACUAAAUUAGAAAAAGGAAUUAGCAGAAUUCGAUCAAAGAAGAAUGAACUGCUAUUUGCAGAAAUUGAGUACAUCAAAAGAGGGAAGCUAAAGAGCAAUUGAAGCAAGUUUUCUCGGAGGCUGGGGAGAAAGAGUUUCUGGACUCGAAUUCAAAUUUUCGGGAAUUAAUCUUGAACUUGCCUCGAGCAAGCAAGUUCACUAUAUCUUUUUUUUUUUGUUUUUUAUGUUCACAUACGUGCCUUUACAUGGUAAAAUUAUUAUCAUUAAUAGUUUUGUUUUAAUUCUGUAACUGGAUUCAUCAUUCUUGAGGCCUUCAACAAAUAUGGAGCAAAUUGUGGUCGUGAGGCUGUUUUGUUCAAGAGUUAUUGCAUUUGGGAGCUGGUGUCAUUUCUUCUGAUGAACCGUUGCUUUGCGUGGAUGACCUUGCUGACCAGAUUGCAGAAGUCCUUGAUUUCUUUGGGAAUUUAACCCUUAUCCAAAACCCUCUUAAAUCAGGCUACGGGAGGUUCUGUGCUUGGGUGUAACAGCUGGUGCUUAUGUUCUCACUCUAUCUGCUAUGCCAUCUUCUUGUUAAUUUUUUAUCUUUAACAGUUGAAGCAUUUUGCAUCUCCCAUUGAUCACAUCCUUGACUUCUUUUACUAUGUAUGGUUGAUCUAGCUAAAGUUCAAGGAGCACUGGGAGAUAACGAUCCAGGUAUUCCAUUAAUAAAGAUUGUAGACUUCCCUCCCUGCCAUAAUGUUAUAUUAUGAAUACAACACAAUAUGUCUGAAAUCAUUGUAACAAUUGAUGAUGGCUUGCAACAUUAGCGUUCCAAAUUCAAAGAGCUUCUGCAACAUGUUCUCUGAUAUGA
Vigna radiata var. radiata (mung bean) is the source of this 2211-nucleotide long non-coding RNA. RefSeq lists it as uncharacterized. NCBI's taxonomy places the organism in Eukaryota, Viridiplantae, Streptophyta, Magnoliopsida, Fabales, Fabaceae. The record is from RefSeq and is a predicted model, not a curated record. The transcript is spliced from 8 exons.